GGGGGAAUAUUGCACAAUGGGCGCAAGCCUGAUGCAGCCAUGCCGCGUGUGUGAAGAAGGCCUUCGGGUUGUAAAGCACUUUCAGCGGGGAGGAAGGCGGUGAGGUUAAUAACCUCAUCGAUUGACGUUACCCGCAGAAGAAGCACCGGUUAACUCCGUGCCAGCAGCCGCGGUAAUACGGAGGGUUCAAGCGUUAAUCGGAAGUACUGGGCGUAAAGCGCACGCAGGCGGUCUGUCAAGUCGGAGGUGAAAUCCCCGGGCUCAACCUGGGAAAUGCAUUCGAAACUGGCAGGCUAGAGUCUUGUAGAGGGGUGUAGAAUUCCAGGUGUAGCGGUGAAAUACGUAGAGAUCUGGAGGAAUACCGGUGGCGAAGGCGGCCCCCUGGACAAAGACUGACGCUCAGGUGCGAAAGCGUGGGGAGCAAACAGG
This 429-nucleotide ribosomal RNA is filed under the name Chloroflexota bacterium. Its description in RNAcentral is "Chloroflexi bacterium partial 16S ribosomal RNA". It matches the Rfam family "Bacterial small subunit ribosomal RNA", at positions 355 to 776 of the family's 1533-position model. The record is from RNAcentral. Lineage: Bacteria; Bacillati; Chloroflexota.